This 253-nucleotide ribosomal RNA is filed under the name uncultured bacterium. RNAcentral's name for it is "partial 16S ribosomal RNA". It matches the Rfam family "Bacterial small subunit ribosomal RNA", at positions 524 to 776 of the family's 1533-position model. The record is from RNAcentral.
UACGUAGGGUGCAAGCGUUAAUCGGAAUUACUGGGCGUAAAGCGUGCGCAGGCGGUUAUGUAAGACAGGUGUGAAAUCCCCGGGCUUAACCUGGGAACUGCAUUUGUGACUGCAUAGCUAGAGUACGGUAGAGGGGGAUGGAAUUCCGCGUGUAGCAGUGAAAUGCGUAGAGAUGUGGAGGAAUACCGAUGGCGAAGGCAGCCCCCUGGGUCAAUACUGACGCUCAUGCACGAAAGCGUGGGGAGCAAACAGG